AUGUAACCUUUACUUCACUGAGCAUCAAUAAUACUUGACAAAAUUCCCAUGAGCCUGAUUCAAACCUUGGGUCAGGUGCAUUAAAUCACAUGUAACUCUGCUAAGUUACACCAGGGUAAAAAUCUGAGGAAGAUGAAAAAGAGUUGCAGUCCUGUUUGCAAAGCUCUGCAGCACAGAGAAAUUGAGUCACAAUUUGAUCGCCUGAGAGAUUUUGGCAGUACAAGUAUUGCUGUGACAAAGCCAAUCAGCUGCAGUCUGCCUAAAUAUCUGCUGUGAGCAGAAGCACUCAGUUUCUUGGAAUCACCAGAAGAAGAGAAUCAAUUCUAAUCAUUAUAGAUCUUGCUAAUUACAAGCCUAUCAAAUAA
Molecule: non-coding RNA, 365 nt
Organism: Meleagris gallopavo (turkey)
Lineage: Eukaryota; Metazoa; Chordata; Aves; Galliformes; Phasianidae
Source: RefSeq, a predicted model, not a curated record